Molecule: unclassified non-coding RNA, 372 nt
Filed under: uncultured fungus
Lineage: Eukaryota; Fungi
Description: sequence contains ITS1
Rfam family: 5.8S ribosomal RNA (bases 1-107)
Source: RNAcentral
GAAAUGCGAUACUUGGUGUGAAUUGCAGAAUCCCGUGAACCAUCGAGUCUUUGAACGCAAGUUGCGCCUGAAGCCAUUAGGCCAAGGGCACGUCUGCCUGGGCGUCACGCAUCGCGUCACCCCUCCUCCUAUUUCGGUGGAAGGGGUGGAAUGUGACCUCCUGUGCCUUCUUGGUGCAGUUGGUCGAAAUUUGAGUCCGGAGCUUAGGAUGUCACGGCAAGUGGUGGUUGGAUAACAACUCGCGUGCUGUCGUGUGCCGAACCUCUUGAGGCUGUAAAGACCCUGAUGCUCUUGUUCCCCCUUGCUCAUGUGGGGUGGGGCUAGUGCUACGACCGCGACCCCAGGUCAGGCGGGACUACCCGCUGAAUUUAA